This 70-nucleotide transfer RNA is filed under the name Podarcis lilfordi (Lilford's wall lizard). It matches the Rfam family "tRNA". From Rfam's summary of the family: Transfer RNA (tRNA) molecules are approximately 80 nucleotides in length. Their secondary structure includes four short double-helical elements and three loops (D, anti-codon, and T loops). Further hydrogen bonds mediate the characteristic L-shaped molecular structure. tRNAs have two regions of fundamental functional importance: the anti-codon, which is responsible for specific mRNA codon recognition, and the 3' end, to which the tRNAs corresponding amino acid is attached (by aminoacyl-tRNA synthetases). tRNAs cope with the degeneracy of the genetic code in two manners: having more than one tRNA (with a specific anti-codon) for a particular amino acid; and 'wobble' base-pairing, i.e. permitting non-standard base-pairing at the 3rd anti-codon position. Lineage: Eukaryota; Metazoa; Chordata; Lepidosauria; Squamata; Lacertidae. The record is from Rfam by way of RNAcentral.
CACUUAGCUCAGUUGGUAGAGCAUGAGACUCUUGAUCUCAGGGUUGUGGGUUCAAGACCCAUGUGGGUGA